GGGAGGGAGGCGGAGGGGAAAGUUUGUUUAUUUUGUUUUUAGUUUCUGGGGUCCCCGUGUUUCUCUGAGGUGAAGCGGGAGGGAGUGACCCCCCGAGCCCCUCAGUCCCCCAACUACGUCGCCUCCACAGCCUGCGGAGAAGCGGGGACCGCGCGCAUCGCAGCGCAUCGCCUCACAGCGGAACGCCGCGCACUCGGAGCCGGCACGGCUCGGCGGGUUUUGGUUUUUGCACUGAAUGUAGUCUAGACUCACCUUUACGGGCUUGUGUUGCCCCAGGAUACUGUCAAAGGCAGUAUUUGUGUGUUUCUGCAGAGUUUUGCACAGAGUCUGUUCCGAUGCAGACCAAUGAGGGAGAAGUAUCAGAAGAAAGCAGUUCCAAGGUGGAACAGGAGGAUUUUGUAAUGGAAGGGCAUGGCAAGACUCCACCUCCUGGUGAAGAAAGCAAACAAGAGAAGGAGCAAGAAAGGGAAGAACAGUUAAUGGAAGACAAGAAAAGGAAGAAAGAGGAUAAAAAGAAAAAAGAAGCCACUCAGAAGGUCACGGAACAAAAAACCAAAGUGCCCGAAGUGACGAAACCAAGUUUAAGCCAACCAGCGGCCGCCAGCCCAAUUGGCAGCUCUCCAUCGCCACCAGUCAAUGGUGGCAACAAUGCCAAAAGGGUGGCAGUGCCGAACGGACAACCGCCAAGCGCCGCCCGCUACAUGCCUCGGGAGGUGCCGCCGCGAUUCCGUUGCCAGCAGGACCACAAAGUGUUACUAAAACGUGGGCAGCCCCCUCCACCGUCCUGCAUGCUCCUCGGCGGCGGGGCAGGGCCUCCUCCCUCCACCGCGCCUGGAGCAAACCCCAACAACGCACAAGUGACAGGAGCGCUGCUGCAGAGCGAGGGUGGGACCGCACCAGAGUCAACCCUUGGAGGUGCUGCUGCUUCAAAUUAUGCAAAUUCCACUUGGGGCCCGGGAGCCUCCUCCAACAGCGGCGCCUCCCCCAACCCAGUUCACAUCUGGGACAAGGUGAUUGUAGACGGGUCUGACAUGGAAGAGUGGCCUUGCAUUGCCAGCAAAGACACUGAGUCUUCUUCCGAAAACACCACCGAUAACAACAGUGCCUCGAACCCUGGCUCUGAGAAGAGCACUCUGCCAGGAAGCACCACUAGUAACAAAGGAAAAGGGAGCCAGUGCCAGUCUGCAAGUUCCGGGAACGAAUGUAAUCUUGGGGUCUGGAAAUCUGACCCUAAGGCUAAAUCUGUUCAAUCUUCCAACUCUACUACAGAGAGCAACAGUGGACUAGGAAAUUGGAGGAAUGUGAGUGGUCAGGAUAGAAUUGGACCUGGCUCUGGCUUCAGCAACUUUAACCCAAAUAGCAACCCAUCUGCCUGGCCAGCGCUGGUCCAAGAAGGAAAUUCUAGGAAAGGGGCAUUGGAAACGGAUACUAGUAAUUCCAGUGCACAGGUUAGCACAGUAGGUCAGGCAUCCAGGGAACAGCAGUCAAAGAUGGAAAAUGCGGGUGUUAAUUUUGUUGUCUCUGGCAGAGAACAGGCUCAAAUUCAUAACACUGAUGGACCAAAAAAUGGAAACACUAACUCCUUGAACUUAAGUUCACCAAACCCCAUGGAGAAUAAGGGAAUGCCCUUUGGAAUGGGCUUGGGGAACGCCUCCAGGAGCACUGAUGCCCCUUCACAAAGCACUGGAGAUCGAAAGACUGGGAGUGUUGGAUCUUGGGGUGCAGCUAGGGGGCCUUCUGGAACUGACACAGCCUCUGGACAAAGCAAUUCUGGAAACAAUGGGAACAAUGGAAAGGAUAGAGAGGACUCCUGGAAAGGAGCUCCUGUUCAGAAAUCAACCGGGUCAAAAAAUGACUCUUGGGACAACAAUAACAGGUCUACGGGUGGGUCCUGGAACUUUGGCCCUCAGGACUCUAAUGACAACAAAUGGGGUGAAGGGAACAAAAUGACAUCUGGGGUCUCUCAGGGAGAAUGGAAACAGCCGACUGGGUCUGAUGAGUUGAAAAUUGGAGAAUGGAGUGGUCCAAACCAACCAAAUUCUAGCACUGGAGCAUGGGACAAUCAAAAGGGCCACCCCCUCCCUGAAAACCAAGGCAAUGCCCAGGCUCCCUGUUGGGGAAGAUCUUCCAGCUCCACGGGAAGUGAAGUUGGAGGUCAGAGCACUGGAAGCAACCACAAAGCAGGAAGUAGUGACAGUCAUAAUUCUGGCCGUCGGUCUUACCGGCCCACACAUCCUGAUUGUCAGGCUGUCUUGCAGACUCUUUUGAGCCGAACUGACUUGGACCCCAGGGUGCUCUCAAACACUGGCUGGGGCCAAACUCAAAUUAAGCAGGACACGGUGUGGGAUAUUGAAGAGGUGCCAAGGCCCGAGGGGAAAUCUGACAAAGGAACUGAGGGGUGGGAGAGCGCUGCCACACAGACCAAGAACUCAGGGGGCUGGGGAGACACACCCAGCCAAAGCAAUCAAAUGAAGUCUGGAUGGGGGGAGCUCUCAGCCUCUACCGAGUGGAAAGACCCCAAGACCACAGGCGGCUGGAACGACUAUAAGAACAACAACUCUUCCAACUGGGGAGGAGGACGACCAGACGAAAAGACAUCUUCCUCUUGGAAUGAGAAUUCCAGCAAGGAGCAGGGGUGGGGAGGUGGACGCCAGCCCAAUCAAGGAUGGACUUCCGGAAAGAAUGGUUGGGGAGAGGAGGUCGAGCAGGUGAAAAACAGUAAUUGGGAUAGUUCUGCCAGUAAACCUGUGUCUGGGUGGGGUGAAGGCGGGCAGAAUGAGAUUGGAACUUGGGGGAACGGUGGGAAUGCAGGCCUCGCUUCAAAAGGCGGGUGGGAAGAUUGCAAAAGAUCUCCAGCGUGGACGGAGACAGGCAGACAACCCAAUUCCUGGAACAAACAGCACCAACAGCAACAGCAGCCCCAGCAGCCGCCGCCACCACAGCCAGAGGCCUCUGGUUCGUGGGGAGGCCCAGCCCCACCACCUCCAGGCAACGGACGACCUUCCAAUUCCAACUGGAGCAGCGGGCCGCAGCCAGUAACCCCAAAGGAUGAGGAACCCAGCGGUUGGGAAGAGCCAUCCCCACAGUCGAUUAGUCGGAAGAUGGACAUUGAUGAUGGCACUUCAGCGUGGGGAGACCCUAACAGUUACAACUACAAGAAUGUGAAUCUGUGGGAUAAGAAUUCCCAAGGGGGCCCAGCACCUCGAGAACCAAACCUGCCUACCCCGAUGACCGGUAAAUCAGCGUCAGUCUGGAGCAAAAGCACACCACCUGCUCCAGAUAAUGGUACUUCAGCUUGGGGUGAGCCAAAUGAAAGCAGUCCUGGGUGGGGUGAAAUGGAUGACACAGGAGCAUCGACCACAGGCUGGGGGACCGCACCCUCCAACGCUCCAAAUGCCAUGAAACCUAAUUCCAAAUCUAUGCAAGACGGCUGGGGGGAGAGUGACGGGCCAGUGACAGGAACUCGCCAUCCCAGCUGGGAAGAGGAGGAUGAUGGAGGAGUCUGGAACACCGCCGGCUCUCAGGGAAGUGCUUCCUCCCACAACUCCGCAAGCUGGGGACAAGGAGGAAAGAAGCAAAUGAAGUGCUCACUAAAAGGAGGAAACAGUGAUUCAUGGAUGAAUCCUCUUGCCAAACAGUUUUCAAAUAUGGGACUGCUGAGUCAAACUGAAGAUAAUCCAAGUAGCAAAAUGGAUUUGUCUGUAGGGAGCCUUCCAGAUAAAAAAUUUGAUGUGGACAAGCGAGCAAUGAAUCUCGGGGAUUUUAAUGAUAUCAUGAGGAAGGAUCGAUCUGGGUUCCGUCCACCUAAUUCCAAAGACAUGGGAACCACAGAUAGUGGGCCUUAUUUUGAGAAGGGUGGCAAUCAUGGUUUGUUUGGAAAUAGCACAGCACAAUCGAGAGGUGUGCACACCCCCGUGCAGCCGCUGAAUUCUUCUCCUAAUCUCCGGGCGCAAGUGCCUCCCCAGUUCAUUUCCCCCCAGGUUUCUGCCUCAAUGCUCAAGCAGUUUCCCAACAGUGGCCUGAAUCCAGGUCUUUUCAAUGUGGGGCCCCAGUUAUCUCCUCAACAAAUUGCCAUGCUGAGCCAGCUUCCACAAAUUCCCCAGUUUCAGUUGGCCUGUCAGCUUCUCUUGCAGCAGCAGCAGCAGCAGCAGUUGUUACAGAACCAGAGGAAGCUUUCUCAAGCCGUGCGCCAGCAGCAGGAGCAGCAGCUGGCUCGAAUGGUGAGCGCCCUCCAGCAGCAGCAGCAGCAGCAGCAGAGGCAGCCCAGCAUGAAGCAUUCGCCAUCUCAUCCUGUUGGGCCCAAGCCGCAUCUGGACAACAUGGUACCCAACGCUCUGAAUGUGGGGCUCCCAGACCUUCAAGCCAAAGGGCCAAUACCUGGAUAUGGUUCUGGCUUCAGCUCUGGUGGCAUGGACUACGGCAUGGUUGGUGGGAAGGAGGCUGGAACAGAGUCUCGCUUUAAACAGUGGACCUCCAUGAUGGAGGGACUGCCCUCUGUAGCCACACAGGAAGCCAAUAUGCACAAAAAUGGCGCUAUAGUGGCCCCUGGUAAGACCCGAGGAGGGUCCCCGUACAACCAGUUUGAUAUCAUCCCGGGAGACACACUGGGUGGCCAUACGGGUCCUGCUGGUGAUAGCUGGUUACCUGCCAAAUCUCCACCAACAAAUAAAAUCGGAAGUAAAUCCAGCAAUGCCAGUUGGCCUCCAGAAUUCCAACCAGGAGUGCCAUGGAAAGGUAUCCAAAACAUUGACCCUGAAUCCGACCCCUAUGUCACCCCAGGAAGUGUGCUAGGGGGUACAGCCACAUCUCCCAUUGUAGAUACUGACCACCAACUUCUGCGGGAUAACACCACAGGGUCUAAUUCUUCCCUCAACACCUCGCUGCCUUCACCUGGUGCCUGGCCCUACAGUGCCUCUGACAACUCCUUUACCAACGUUCAUAGCACUUCAGCAAAGUUCCCUGAUUACAAAUCAACAUGGUCCCCGGAUCCCAUAGGACACAACCCCACUCAUCUCUCCAACAAGAUGUGGAAAAACCAUAUUUCCUCAAGGAACACUACACCGCUGCCCCGCCCGCCUCCCGGGCUGACCAACCCCAAACCAUCAUCUCCCUGGAGCAGCACAGCACCCCGCUCAGUCAGGGGGUGGGGGACACAGGACUCACGGCUUGCCUCGGCCUCUACCUGGAGUGAUGGUGGUUCAGUUCGUCCUAGUUACUGGCUGGUUCUUCACAAUCUCACUCCACAGAUUGAUGGGUCAACCUUGAGAACCAUCUGCAUGCAGCAUGGCCCACUGCUGACAUUCCAUCUGAACCUAACCCAGGGCACCGCCCUGAUCCGAUACAGCACCAAACAGGAGGCAGCCAAGGCGCAAACUGCACUGCACAUGUGUGUGUUGGGAAACACUACCAUCCUGGCCGAGUUUGCCACCGACGACGAAGUUAGCCGCUUCCUGGCACAAGCUCAGCCCCCUGCCCCUGCGGCGACCCCCAGCGCGCCCGCGGCGGGUUGGCAGUCCCUGGAGACCGGCCAGACCCAGUCAGAUCCCGUCGGACCUGCUCUGAAUCUUUUCGGUGGGUCCACAGGGCUCGGGCAAUGGAGCAGCAGUGCUGGUGGCAGCAGCGGGGCCGAUCUUGCUGGCGCUUCGUUGUGGGGGCCCCCAAACUAUUCUUCUAGCUUGUGGGGAGUCCCAACUGUGGAAGACCCCCAUAGGAUGGGCAGCCCUGCUCCUUUACUACCUGGUGACCUUCUGGGAGGAGGGUCGGAUUCAAUCUGAACUUAGAACUUUCAACUCUGACCUCGUGACCUUUUUUGGAACAGCAGCAGCACUAACUUGACCUUUUCGUUUUUUUUUUCAACUUGCAAUAAAUACAUUUUUAAAAGGAAAAAAGAAAACGGAGAGAGAAAAAAAGAGGUAUCAAGUGAAUGCUAAGGGCCAUUUCUAUAAUUCCUCAGAACUCCCCAAAGAGGAAAUCUAUCCCUCCGCAAGAUUCCUUCAGCUUCAUUCAGGAAGACACAGGGAGGAGAGAUGCUGCAGCUUCUGGGCCUUCACUCUCAUUCCUCUCUAAUGGCCUUGAAAUGUAUUAUUAUGCAAAUGUGAAUUUUGAUAUUGAAUUUAAGAAGAGGUUGUUGGGUUUUUCUUUUUUCAAAAAAAAAAAAGUUCCCAUAUGUGGUCAUCAUUGCUUCUUUACUUUGUAACGUGAAUUGUAACUAUGCAUUUUGCAAAGGGGGGGCAGGAGAGGGCAGAAAGGGGAAGGAGGUAGCUUUGCAUCCUUGUUCUACAGUUUCUGUGUCCAUGGUAUCCCCUUGAGCUGGCAGGGAAGGGGAGUGAAAGCAAGAAGCGGUAAGGUCGGCACAGUGAGGUAGAAAGAGACCUGUGAGUUCCGCCUGGCACUUCCUGGGGGGCCUGCAGUUCCUACCAACCAGUGUGGUACAGAAUCUCCAUCCUAGACGUGCAGUGUUAGCCUGGUGCAGCUGGAGGGCCCCAAAGGCCCCCGUGUUCUCCAGAAAAAAGUGCUCACCCUGUCCUGAAUUCAGAACCCUUUCAAGCCCAGGAAACCAUGCCUCACUUGUGCUGACCUUAAUUUUUAUGUCAUUUCAAAAAAAUUCCUCCUCCUCCCCAUCCUUGCUCCAUUUUAAUUUUUCUUUCUUCUUUCUUAGUUGUUUUUAAGUGAAUUUAAUUGUAAGGAAACUCUUUUGCUCUAUGGGGAAGAGGACUGUUGCUUCAUAGACAACCAAGGCUGCUCCUCCGCAUCCACUACCCCUCCGCCAUAUGUGGCCUGUCUGCUUCCCUUGCAGUUGUUAAGCUGUGUAUAGCUAGUGAGCAGUGAGGUGUUUGACAUGGGAAAGCCUACAGCCCCCUUCUAUGUCCUGACAGCAUCCCUCUGUUGAUCUUGCCUGCAGUGAGGCGUGGCCUCUGCAUUGCUCUGGUCUAGGCAUUAUUGGCAAUACACAGUAUCGUAAGCAAGAGACUGCUGUGCCCAGAGCCAGUGUUUCCAUACAGCAGUUUUGCUGUUGAUGUUCACAGUACUGUAACGAGUAACAGACUUGAUCACAGUCUCCUCGUGCCCCUGCAAGCCUGCACAGGCACGUUCUUAUCAGGGUUCCAAUCUGUUAGAUUGCCUUCAGACAAAAAAAACAAAACAAAACAAAAAAAUAAAAUUCUGAUGUUUCAGCUGUCUAACACAAAACAAUACCUCGAGGUACAUUUCCCCUGCAGCGUAGACCUUUAACUCCCCUCCUUUUCUGACAUCAGUGGUUAUCCUUGGAAAAAUAUGAAUGUGUAGAUAGCAGGAUAACUUUUAUGAUUUUUUCUUUGCUGUGAAAGUAACCCUAAAAUAUGAUGUUUUCCACUUUUUUUUUUUUUUUAAGCCAUCAGAAGUUUCGAUCUUAUUCUUUCAUGUCUAGCAAGAGAAAGCAGAACAGGUCAGGGGAGUGGACUGCAUUUUUGGAGUGGUGUUCUCUCCAUUGCCUCCCAUACACAGUGACGACAGACCAGUGUUUAAACCCUGUUUUGAAUAGAUGCCAUCUAUUCCAGCUCUAGUUCCAGGGUGGGCAGUGUCUGGAUUUCUUUCUUCUGGAAGAUCCAUCCCCUCCAGGGACUCCAGAAUGUUUCUACCUGAGACCUUGAGCUCUCAACCUUUCUUGGUUCAAACACACACACACACACACUUUGAGUAACUGAGUAGCAUUCUGUAGAUCAUAAGGAGAAUCAGUCCUUGGCAUUUCAGUUUUGUGCCGUAGAAUUCAUAGCCUUGUCGCUUUGCGAUGCUCUGGAGAUGAACUGAUUUCUUACUUAGAAGGAAACUCAUCUGAGACGUGCAGGCAACCUCCCUGAAAGGCCCGCGCAACCUCCCUGAAAGGCCCGCGCAACCUCCCUGAAAGGCCCGCGCAUCCUCAGACGUUCCUCCCUCUACGAGGCUUGAAGCUGACGUGAGGUGGAGGAAAAUCAGUCUAAUAAGUGCUGCUCGUAGGGAUCUGCCAGCUACUGCUCUCCUAGAUGUGGCCGCUCGUGAGGCAGGAUCAGAACAGAUCGCUUUGAAUAGCUUCUUCGCAAACCCUCUAGCUCCCCCCAUCUUAAAGACAAACCCUGUAUCUGUCAUGAAGCCCUUUUUAGGUUGGGCUCACUGAUCUUUGUCUAGUGACGACUUCCUUUGAGGGAAGGAAGCUUGAUAAUAAAUGCAUGCAUGUUCACCACGCACCUUCCGAUUUGGGCGCUGUCGACCUGCAGAUUUUAUUUCUGUUGUUUGUGUGGAGGCCCCUUUUCUAUCAGUCUCCUUCCUCUGGUCCCUCCUGAGUUUUUCCUGCCCUUCUGUCCCUCUGCGAUGCUCCCAAAGGGCUCUGCUGAUCUCUGCACGUCUGUCCUGGGACACUCCCCCCACCUCCCUUUGCACACACCAGUGACCAAAGUGUGUCCAGUGAUCUCGCAGAAGACAUCAAAAAUGGUGCAUGCACCGCGAAUGUGCUCACAGAGACACGUGCACAAGAUUCUGCACCCUUGGCCUUAACCUCAGUAUGACUUAAGGUGCAGGAACAUUUUUAACAGGUUUUAAAAAAACAAAAAAAACACCCUUCUAGGAGGAAAAAAAAAAAAAAAAGAUGCAACAGCUCAACUGUGCCCACUCCUAACUCUCCACUAUUUGCUUACAACUUACUUUGUGCCCGCCCCACCCCCUCCCUGUUUCGAGUAACCAAAAACAGAUAACAGAAGCAACCGGAGGAGAGGUUUCUGGACUAUUUUCUCUUUCUCCAUUUAGAUGGAGAUAUAUAUGCUGCUUUGGGUUCCAUAAUCCUAGGGGGCUGUGUUUACAUAGUAAAAUACAUCCUACCAAAUCAGGAAACUGAAUAAUGGGCAUCUCUGCAGUGAGAGUUAGGUCACUGAUGGUGAACAAGAGAAGUGAGGGCCCUGGGGGGACGGCACAGAGGAGAAGCGGAGCAGUACUGCCUGAUGGCCUGGGACACAUUGCUCCUCUCUCCUCCCUCCUCCCUCCGCUUCUCUCCUUGCCCCCUUUCACAGAAGAUGCAGAGAAGGGCAUCAGAAAGAGGCUGGAUCUUUAAAAGGCAGCUUUCCAACUUUGCACACAAACAGGUAACAGGAAGGUACAGCAAAAAUCCUCUCAUCUGAAACACUGUCCGCAGAAACAAAACCUGUAAACGUGACUAAAUAGCUGCACAAGUUUGAUGCUCUCUGCAAGUUACCUAGAAGUGUUUUGUUUUUCUUAUACUUGAAAUAGCUUUUACAAUAUUAUUUUGGUGGCUUUCUUUUCUCUCUUCUGGUGGGCGAUAGAAAAAGUGGAUGACGGGAUUAAAGGAAGUUUGAGGGGAGAAAAGGGAGGAUAUGGCAUUGUUUUUUUGGUUUUUUGUUUUUUUUCUCUUAGAGGUUUAAUCAAACUCCCAUAUGCUGAAAUUGCUCCUCAUAUGACUGGUUUUACAUGGACACAGAAACUAGGCACUUUAGAGGUGCACUUGCAUGGCAGGCUGGGCCCCCCUUUUCUAUAUUUUAUUUUACUUUUUUAGUAUAGUGGUACUUAAAAUCACUGGUUCACUUAAAAAACAAACAAUAAAAUGUUAAACUCUACUAAUGUACAAAUAAGCUGAAAAGUUGCAUUUUAUGUGUAUUUUUUGCCAUAGCAGGUACUGUAUUUCUCAUGCUGGAUUUCAAAAAAAAAAAAAAAGUCAAAAACAAAAAAAAACUAAAGGGUGGUCUUUUAUUGGAUUGUGACAGGUUGAGUAAUAAGGAAUUAAGUCGCCGUCAUUUCAUUAAAACUGAGAGAUGAUGUAAUGCAUAUAUAAGAGUUUUCUGAAGGGUUUUUUUGGGCUUUUAAACAGCUUAUUUUGUUUUUGUUUAGUUUUUUAUUUUAUUUUAUUUUGGAAAGAUAUGAUUGUAUUAUGUGCAACUCAGUUGCUUACAUUAUAACUACAAAAUAUUUUUGGGUUCCUGGAAAAAAAAAAAAAAAAGAAAAAAGACUAAUAAAUGUGUUUGGCUGCUAAGCAUUUAUUGUGGUUUCCUGUUUUAUUCUGCCAGUUUAAUUUGUUCGUUUGUUGAAUGUUUUAUAUUUUUUCUACUCUUCUCCCUCGCUCUGCUCCACACAUAAAAGCUGCUGACAUUCAGCAUCUGAACUGGGCCUCCACUUUGUCUCUAUUGUCUCGUUAUGUUUGUGUUCUUGGGAUUGUCAGGUUGACCAGCUGGUCAUGGGUUUGUGCCCCUUGCCAUGCUGCUGGGUUCAGAUUCUCUGAAAGAAAUUCAUGUUCUCCUGCUACCUUUCGUUGUCGUCCUGUUUGAGGCUCAUGUGCAUUUGGAGUGAAGACACUAGAGUGGAGGAGAGCAGGGGGACGAUGCCUGCCUGGGGCUCUGCAGCAGCCUGGGAAGGUGACCACGAGCCAGCUCUGUCCACGGAGCCGCCUGCCGGCGCCCCCACCCAGCUUCCAGUGCUCACCACUGCUGGGGAGCGGGCGAGCCUUACCCUAAGGGCCCAUCUGAACAGUUUCUUAUUAUCCUUAGCUGCUAGAGACUUGUUAGACAUGUGAUCUUGCAACACUGCUAGAAUGGCAAAGGGGAGCAAUGGAAGGAAGCUGAUACUUUCUAAUUCCCAGGUAAUUUUGUGUUUGACUUAAUUGUCAGAAUGCUGUGUGGAAUAGGUAGUAGCAAACCCAUUUCGUGAGGAAACUGCAGCUCAGCAUAAUUUAAUCAGCUCUAGCAGGUAACACUGAGUGCUUGCUUUCUGUAAGCUAGGCACUGCUCUAAGCACACCAUGUAAA
Hippopotamus amphibius kiboko is the source of this 10756-nucleotide RNA transcript. It is a transcript of the gene named trinucleotide repeat containing adaptor 6B, with no coding region annotated. The transcript is spliced from 26 exons. The record is from RefSeq and is a predicted model, not a curated record. Lineage: Eukaryota; Metazoa; Chordata; Mammalia; Artiodactyla; Hippopotamidae.